CUCUAAUGCUUAAAAAGUUGUAAAACUUCACAUCUGUUCAGGAGAUAAAUGCAAACUUUGCUUCUUCAUCUCAAGGGACACUCCUUUUUUAACAUCUUUUUUGAGUUUCAUUCUAAUGUCUGCCAGUGGAGAAAUGGUUUUUAUGAUAUGGAUACCGUUACUUUGUUCAUUUUUAAUCUUUUUUUUUUUUCUUUCGUAGUGGAAAGGUGAAAUCCAGGAAUUUUGUCCAAAUACCAAAAUGCUGUUGGUCGGCUGCAAGUCUGAUCUGCGGACAGAUGUUAGUACAUUAGUAGAGCUCUCCAAUCACAGGCAGACGCCAGUGUCCUAUGACCAGGGGGCAAAUAUGGCCAAACAGAUUGGAGCAGCUACUUAUAUCGAAUGCUCAGCUUUACAGUCGGAAAAUAGCGUCAGAGACAUUUUUCACGUUGCCAC
This 432-nucleotide small RNA is filed under the name Pongo abelii (Sumatran orangutan). RNAcentral's name for it is "retained intron". Lineage: Eukaryota; Metazoa; Chordata; Mammalia; Primates; Hominidae. The record is from RNAcentral.